RNAcentral lists this small RNA (593 nucleotides) under Pongo abelii (Sumatran orangutan). Its description in RNAcentral is "retained intron". Lineage: Eukaryota; Metazoa; Chordata; Mammalia; Primates; Hominidae. The record is from RNAcentral.
GGCUGGACAGCAGCGUUGGUGGGAGCAGGAGAUUAAAAUAAAUGGGAAUAUUCAAAAGGGAGAAUUAAUUACAUAUAACUUGACAGAGCUAAUUAAACCAGAAGCUUAUGAAGUCCGACUGACUCCUCUCACCAAAUUUGGUGAAGGAGAUUCAACAAUUCGUGUGAUCAAAUAUAGUGGAGAAUUUCAUUGUGGAUUUGAAGAUGGUAAUAUUUGUUUGUUCACUCAAGAUGAUACAGAUAAUUUUGACUGGACAAAACAAAGUACAGCAACAAGAAAUACAAAAUAUACUCCUAAUACAGGACCUAAUGCUGACCGUAGUGGUUCCAAAGAAGGUUUUUAUAUGUACAUUGAGACAUCACGACCCAGAUUGGAAGGCGAAAAGGCUCGACUUCUCAGCCCUGUUUUCAGCAUAGCUCCCAAAAACCCUUAUGGACCCACAAACACUGCAUAUUGUUUCAGCUUCUUUUAUCACAUGUAUGGACAACAUAUAGGUGAGAUAGCAAUAAUUACUGAUUCUUACAAAAUUAAUGAUAACUAAGAAGAAAAAGGUUCAUAAACACACAGGAUUAAAACAAUUUUUGGUCAAAGAA